GACCAAAAUAAUCGUUGCAAAAAAUCAAGGAUGGCACAGCAGGUGCAUGAGCCCGUGUCUGGAGAAAGGUUAUGAAGGUGAAUGCUGGUUACAUGGGAGGGUGACUUGGAGCCCUCUAGUUUCCUUCUUGUGCCAGCUGGGUUCCUGUUUCAAGGCCAGGCUUCUCUAACUUGUCUUCCUGGGAAAUGUAGCUUUUCCAAGAAUUUGGUAGUGCACACCAGGAAAAACUAGGUAUCAGAACAGAUUUUUUUUUAAAUAGUGGAAACACCCUCACUCCCACACUUUGGACAGUUAGGGUUGGAUAUUUAAUUUCAUAGUUACUCUUUUUUUCCACAGAAGAAAGGCCAGCCUGACCCAAGUUGCCUAUUUUUAAUGUGUUACUGCAUCUUAUUUUCUCUUCAAAGUGAAAAAGGCCAGAAACUAGCAGAUAGAAAUGGAACCCGUUGACUUAGUUCCCUUAUAAGAAGUUCUUGCAAACACCUCUGUGACGUUUUCAUUCAAGUGGAUAUGUUGGACAAAUAGGAAACAGUUUUAGUUUACGCGAACAGUAUGAGACUUCCAGGUGGUGGACGCCAUUUUUUUAGAAGUGUUGAUGAUGUAUUUGAUAACAUUAUAAAAGUAUGUGUCUCCCGUGAAAGAACAUUGAGCUAUUUCCCUGGAAUGGAUGGGGAAGAAAUGAGCAAAGGAGUGCUGUUCUGUAUGGGUGUCUAUACCCUUAUUCCAAGGUGAAUAAAUAAAGUUGUGUUUGCC
RNAcentral lists this long non-coding RNA (750 nucleotides) under Homo sapiens (human). RNAcentral describes it as "non-protein coding lnc-PIP4P2-5:1". The record is from RNAcentral. Lineage: Eukaryota; Metazoa; Chordata; Mammalia; Primates; Hominidae.